This 75-nucleotide transfer RNA is filed under the name Chloroflexota bacterium. Its description in RNAcentral is "Chloroflexi bacterium (soil metagenome) tRNA-Asn". It matches the Rfam family "tRNA". Rfam says of the family: Transfer RNA (tRNA) molecules are approximately 80 nucleotides in length. Their secondary structure includes four short double-helical elements and three loops (D, anti-codon, and T loops). The record is from RNAcentral. Lineage: Bacteria; Bacillati; Chloroflexota. RNAcentral also lists the same sequence under 5 other names.
UCCGGACUAGCUCAACGGUAGAGCAGGCGGCUGUUAACCGCAAGGUUCAGGGUUCGAAUCCCUGGUCCGGAGCCA